GCCUCACACAUGCAAGUCGAGCGGUAGAGAGAAGCUUGCUUCUCUUGAGAGCGGCGGACGGGUGAGUAAUGCCUAGGAAUCUGCCUGGUAGUGGGGGAUAACGUUCGGAAACGGACGCUAAUACCGCAUACGUCCUACGGGAGAAAGCAGGGGACCUUCGGGCCUUGCGCUAUCAGAUGAGCCUAGGUCGGAUUAGCUAGUUGGUGGGGUAAUGGCUCACCAAGGCGACGAUCCGUAACUGGUCUGAGAGGAUGAUCAGUCACACUGGAACUGAGACACGGUCCAGACUCCUACGGGAGGCAGCAGUGGGGAAUAUUGGACAAUGGGCGAAAGCCUGAUCCAGCCAUGCCGCGUGUGUGAAGAAGGUCUUCGGAUUGUAAAGCACUUUAAGUUGGGAGGAAGGGUUGUAGAUUAAUACUCUGCAAUUUUGACGUUACCGACAGAAUAAGCACCGGCUAACUCUGUGCCAGCAGCCGCGGUAAUACAGAGGGUGCAAGCGUUAAUCGGAAUUACUGGGCGUAAAGCGCGCGUAGGUGGUUAGUUAA
RNAcentral lists this ribosomal RNA (545 nucleotides) under uncultured earthworm cast bacterium. RNAcentral describes it as "bacterial SSU rRNA". It matches the Rfam family "Bacterial small subunit ribosomal RNA", at positions 46 to 586 of the family's 1533-position model. The record is from RNAcentral.